This 447-nucleotide ribosomal RNA is filed under the name uncultured bacterium. Its description in RNAcentral is "bacterial SSU rRNA". It matches the Rfam family "Bacterial small subunit ribosomal RNA", at positions 355 to 825 of the family's 1533-position model. The record is from RNAcentral.
UCGGGAAUUUUGGGCAAUGGGGGAAACCCUGACCCAGCAACGCCGCGUGAAGGAUGAAGUAUUUCGGUAUGUAAACUUCGAAAGAAUAGGAAGAAUAAAUGACGGUACUAUUUAUAAGGUCCGGCUAACUACGUGCCAGCAGCCGCGGUAAUACGUAGGGACCAAGCGUUGUUCGGAUUUACUGGGCGUAAAGGGCGCGUAGGCGGCAAUUCAAGUCAUCUGUGAAAUCUCCGGGCUCAACUCGGAACGGUCAGAUGAUACUGCUUUGCUAGAGUGCAGAAGGGGCAAUCGGAAUUCUUGGUGUAGCGGUGAAAUGCGUAGAUAUCAAGAGGAACACCUGAGGUGAAGACGGGUUGCUGGGCUGACACUGACGCUGAGGCGCGAAAGCCAGGGGAGCAAACGGGAUUAGAUACCCAAGUAGUCCCUGAGCGGGCUGGCAAGGCGCAU